AACGAACGCUGGCGGCAUGCCUAACACAUGCAAGUCGAACGAUGCCUUCGGGCAUAGUGGCGCCCGGGUGCGUCACGCGUGGGAAUCUGCCUUUCGGUUCAGCAUAACUCAGGGAAACUUGAGCUAAUACCGGAUAACGUCGCAAGACCAAAGAUUUAUCACCGAAAGAUGAGCCCGCGUAGGAUUAGCUAGUUGGUGAGGUAAAGGCUCACCAAGGCGACGAUCCUUAGCUGGUCUGAGAGGAUGAUCAGCCACACUGGGACUGAGACACGGCCCAGAAUCCUACGGGAGGCAGCAGUGGGGAAUAUUGGAAAAUGGGCGAAAGCCUGAUCCAGCAAUGCCGCGUGAGUGAUGAAGGCCUUAGGGUUGUAAAGCGCUUUUACCCGGGAAGAUAAUGACGGUACCGGGAGAAUAAGCCCCGGCUAACUCCGUG
RNAcentral lists this ribosomal RNA (433 nucleotides) under uncultured bacterium. RNAcentral describes it as "partial 16S ribosomal RNA". It matches the Rfam family "Bacterial small subunit ribosomal RNA", at positions 29 to 507 of the family's 1533-position model. The record is from RNAcentral.